UACAGGGGGUGCAAACGUUGCUCGGAAUCAUUGGGCGUAAAGCGCACGUAGGCGGUCUGUUAUGUCGGAUGUGAAAGCCCUUGGCUCAACUGAGGAAGUGCAUCCGAAACUGGCAGGCUAGAGUACUAAAGAGGAUCGCGGAAUUCCCGGUGUAGAGGUGAAAUUCGUAGAUAUCGGGAGAAACACCGGUGGCGAAGGCGGCGAUCUGGGUAGAUACUGACGCUGAGGUGCGAAAGCGUGGGGAGCAAACAGG
Molecule: ribosomal RNA, 253 nt
Filed under: uncultured bacterium
Lineage: Bacteria
Description: partial 16S ribosomal RNA
Rfam family: Bacterial small subunit ribosomal RNA
Source: RNAcentral